RNAcentral lists this ribosomal RNA (253 nucleotides) under uncultured bacterium. Its description in RNAcentral is "partial 16S ribosomal RNA". It matches the Rfam family "Bacterial small subunit ribosomal RNA", at positions 524 to 776 of the family's 1533-position model. The record is from RNAcentral.
GACGAACCGUGCGAACGUUGUUCGGAAUCACUGGGCUUAAAGGGCGCGUAGGCGGGCUGCCGCGUCUGGGGUGAAAUCCUCCGGCUCAACCGGGGAAGGGCCUCGGGUACGGGCGGCCUCGAGGGGGGUAGGGGCGUGCGGAACUGUGGGUGGAGCGGUGAAAUGCGUAGAGAUCCGGAGGAACACCGACGGCGCAGGCAGCGUCCUGGCCGCUUGCUGACACUGAGGCACGAAGGCCAGGGGAGCAAACGGG